This 468-nucleotide ribosomal RNA is filed under the name uncultured bacterium. Its description in RNAcentral is "partial 16S ribosomal RNA". It matches the Rfam family "Bacterial small subunit ribosomal RNA", at positions 28 to 507 of the family's 1533-position model. The record is from RNAcentral.
GACGAACGCUGGCGGCGUGCUUAACACAUGCAAGUCGAACGGAAAGGCCCUGCUUUUGUGGGGUGCUCGAGUGGCGAACGGGUGAGUAACACGUGAGUAACCUGCCCUUGACUUUGGGAUAACUUCAGGAAACUGGGGCUAAUACCGGAUAGGAGCUCCUGCUGCAUGGAGGGGGUUGGAAAGUUUCGGCGGGUGGGGAUGGACUCGCGGCUUAUCAGCUUGUUGGUGGGGUAGUGGCUUACCAAGGCUUUGACGGGUAGCCGGCCUGAGAGGGUGACCGGCCACAUUGGGACUGAGAUACGGCCCAGACUCCUACGGGAGGCAGCAGUGGGGAAUAUUGCACAAUGGGCGGAAGCCGGAUGCAGCAACGCCGCGUGCGGGAUGACGGCCUUCGGGUUGUAAACCGCUUUCGCCUGUGACGAAGCGUGAGUGACGGUAAUGGGUAAAGAAGCACCGGCUAACUACGUG